UACGUAGGGGGCAAGCGUUGUCCGGAUUCAUUGGGCGUAAAGAGCGUGUAGGCGGCCAGGUAGGUCAGCUGUGAAAACUGGAGGCUCAACCUUCAGACGUCGGCUGAAACCAUCUGGCUAGAGUCCGGUAGAGGAGAGUGGAAUUCCUGGUGUAGCGGUGAAAUGCGCAGAUAUCAGGAAGAACACCCGUGGCGAAAGCGGCUCUCUGGAACGGUACUGACGCUGAGACGCGAAAGCGUGGGGAGCGAACAGG
This 253-nucleotide ribosomal RNA is filed under the name uncultured bacterium. RNAcentral describes it as "partial 16S ribosomal RNA". It matches the Rfam family "Bacterial small subunit ribosomal RNA", at positions 524 to 776 of the family's 1533-position model. The record is from RNAcentral.